Molecule: ribosomal RNA, 366 nt
Filed under: Triticum aestivum (bread wheat)
Lineage: Eukaryota; Viridiplantae; Streptophyta; Magnoliopsida; Poales; Poaceae
Description: partial small subunit ribosomal RNA
Source: RNAcentral
AUGUACGUGGAUCCUCUUCAGUGUGGCCUAUCAGCUAUGGCAAGGAUCCGUGUGGUCAGACGGGAGGAUUAUGGUUCAGAAAAUGGAGGUAUUCAGAUCUCGGGUGUAGGAGUACCAAGGGAAUUUGUGAGAAACAGAGAUGGUCCACCAGCGGUCGUGGUGAUCCUUCAGUAUCUAUGUGUUCCUUGUUUUGAAUUUGUUUUGUGUGAAUUAGCCAUUCUGUGGGUUUGGCAAAAAGGGAAGGCGUCAUUAUGUGCUUAUAUGCUAGUAGCAUUGUUCGACUCAAGACAACAUUUACAUAUCCGUUUCAUCUCUUAUUGUGCAUUAAUACACGUAACCAUGUCAGUCAUUCACUUGAUUUCAUGA